This 78-nucleotide transfer RNA is filed under the name Acinetobacter radioresistens SK82. Its description in RNAcentral is "tRNA-His". It matches the Rfam family "tRNA". From Rfam's summary of the family: Transfer RNA (tRNA) molecules are approximately 80 nucleotides in length. Lineage: Bacteria; Pseudomonadati; Pseudomonadota; Gammaproteobacteria; Moraxellales; Moraxellaceae. The record is from RNAcentral.
GGUGGAUGUAGCUCAGUUGGUAGAGCCCUGGAUUGUGAUUCCAGUUGUCGCGGGUUCGAAUCCCGUCAUUCACCCCAU